Non-coding RNA from Pelobates cultripes (western spadefoot toad), 205 nucleotides. Lineage: Eukaryota; Metazoa; Chordata; Amphibia; Anura; Pelobatidae. The record is from the annotation of a GenBank genome assembly.
GCCCCCUUGGCACUGCUCUCACAGCGUCAGCAAUCACUUCUGAAAUAAGAUUUGAAAAUUUUACACACGGUCGUAGUGCAAGGUCCACAAAAGGUCCUUCGUUCCAGCAAAGGGGUCGUUUACAUUUCAAGUUAUCAGUUUUCAUCAAACCUGACACCUGGUAUUUAAAUGUCGGGUCAGAUACUCGCGGUCUGAGCAACGCAAG